GUGGGAGAUGGGGGGGCCGCCGCCGUGGGGCUGGUCUGCGCCGCCUCGCUCAUUGCGUCUCUCCGGGGCGGUCGGUGGUGGCCGCGUGCUGGCGCGCGGCGCGUCGGGUGGGUCGGUGUUUCGCGCUGGGUCGCUAGGGCUCCGCGCUGGGUCUUACUGCCCCCAAAAUGGCCCCGCUGAAGUUUUUAACACAGUCAGCGAGGGCCAGCCCCGAGCCUGGGGCGGCCUCAUUAGCAUUUAAAGGGACCGCGCCGCCAGAGCCACCUGGCGCCGCCUGCCUGGGGCUGCCCCGCACGGGGCAGGGAAAGUUACAGAGGAGCGAGCGAGUGAAUGCGCGAGCGCGUCCCCAUUUUAUCAUCACCGGGGUGUUGGGUGCUGAACUGACACCCGAGGGCUCGAGGACAAGACAUAUUUACGCACCUAGGGCCCACUUCUGCAUUCGUGUACCGCCCCACGCACCCAUGCAAUCGGCUGGGGUAAAGGGGCCCUGGCGUCCUGCCUUACUCACACACCACAGGGGAGGCAGAAGUGUGAACCUACAUCUACUUUGACCUUGCUGCCACCUGUCCCGUGAUAUCCAGCUGCUAACCUAUCCCAGAUGUGAGCUAUUCAGGCUCUCUACUGCUUUCUGCACAUCAACGCCUGAACUACUUGGAAUGUGAUUCUUGGCCUAUACACCUGUUAUUCCUAUCUGAUGUCCAGCUACACCUCAACUCACUGAGAACUCUGCCAAACAGACAGUUAAUUUCUUUUAAGAGCAUUCGCUGCUGAAGAGUGCCAAGGUACUGAUAACAUGCCUCUGUUCUAAGAUGAGGCACUCUCUGCCAGUGAGCACUUUGGUACUGGUUUGAACUAUGCAAAAUCAUGUAUUAUUGAAACUUUUUGUGAACCUUGAAGAAGCCUCUGGACUUCACAGGUGUCAGAGCAGGGGAAAAAUGUAACAGUGCCCUUUCCUCAAUCACAAACCAAAUCCACAAUACCAAAGUUUCUACUAAAAUGAUGAAUAGUGAAAUAGUGAACUAUUUUGAUAUGCAAAUGAUCUCUAACUCUGAAGUCUAUGCAUCAUUAAAUAUUAGAGUUAUUGCUGACCACUCAGACAUCAAUGUUCCAACUCACAUCUGGAGUUUAUCUACACAUUUCAGUAACAUAUUGUUUUUGCCCUUUUCUAAAUCAUGAAGACAGUGAUUAUUACCGUAGUCUUCAUUGUGCUAGGCUUUGAACACACCAAUAACAAGAAGAUGAUCUCUGCUCCAAAGAGCUUACAACGCCCCUCAACUCGAUACUGUACUUGGCAGAUUAUAAUUAUGUUAUAGCCCUUUGCAAUUUUCAAUCCAUAUGAGUAUUCACAUCCAAGCCAGUUUGUAUAAAUUCUGAGUGUAAGAUUUUGUGACACUGAAUCAAAUGCUGUAUUAAAAUCCAAACCUGUUGCU
Chelonoidis abingdonii (Abingdon island giant tortoise) is the source of this 1430-nucleotide non-coding RNA. NCBI's taxonomy places the organism in Eukaryota, Metazoa, Chordata, Testudines, Testudinidae. The record is from RefSeq and is a predicted model, not a curated record.